AUAGUAUAAUCAAGUCCAGCCUCAAUGUUGGAAUUUUACUCACUUUAAAACAGCUGGGGUAUCCAAACAGAGCUCGUAACAAGAUGAGGAAGAUCUCCCAUUAUCUGCCAUUUCUGCAGAGGGAGAUAGACAGUUAAAUUGUUCUUUAUACUAAAACCUUAAAUUUCAAAAAUUCCUGUUGAACGUCCCCAAAAAGGGCUUCCAGAAUUAUAAAUUCAUAUUCUGCCCUUAUACUAAGCAGAAAAUAAAACAUUAACAGUUUUGUAAUGCAUUUCAAGUUUGCAUUUUUAAUGACUAUAAUAUUACAUAGUAUUAGAAGUUUAUUAAAAUAGAAAUCCAAGUUCUGGAUGAAUGAAAAAGAAUAACUUAAAAGACCAAAGAAAAAUACUCCAAGUGAGCCCAAUUAAACUGUUCUUACCAACAGUUCUAGUCCAAAAAGAGCAUACCUACUAGCACUACAGCAAUUUGGUCUCUGACUGCUACACAGGGAUUACAA
Molecule: long non-coding RNA, 496 nt
Filed under: Bos taurus (domestic cattle)
Lineage: Eukaryota; Metazoa; Chordata; Mammalia; Artiodactyla; Bovidae
Description: long non-coding RNA NONBTAT014806
Source: RNAcentral